This is a long non-coding RNA of Quercus robur (English oak), 663 nucleotides long. RefSeq lists it as uncharacterized. The transcript is spliced from 2 exons. Lineage: Eukaryota; Viridiplantae; Streptophyta; Magnoliopsida; Fagales; Fagaceae. The record is from RefSeq and is a predicted model, not a curated record.
UAAGCUUAAAACACAAGUCUAUGCUUAAACGACAUUAUUUCAAGCAAAAACCUGAAAUCAAAACCAAAACCACGAAGAAGGCUUACGAACCCAGACCCCACGAACCCAAACCCCUCAGCUCGUGUGAACCCAGGCACAGACCAUCAGCUCGCCUCAUAACCCAGACUUUAGCUCCAUUGUCGAAGGCUCCAGGCGACGGCGACGGUGAUAGUCUCAACCUAAACAAAUGUUGCUAGAAGCAGUGAAGUUAGUAGAUAUGGAAAAGGAGCUGGAGCUGGAAAAUUAACUCAAACUGGUGUUGGAAAAGGAAGAGCCAGAAAUGGAGCUGGAAAAGGUUGAGGGGCAAUAGCAGUGUUAGUUUGUAGGACCUUUUAUGUGUUAGGAUAUUUGAUUAUUAGAACCUUUAGUGGUUUCUGUUUUGUAAAGCUGUCCAUAAGCUUAUUUGAUGGUGUUAAUGGACAAAAGUAACCUAUUUUUUGUUGGUCUUAGGUAAGACCUUUGGUUUGACAAACAUUAUUAGUCACUGUUUUGUAAAGCUUUCCUUAAGCUUAUAUAAUGGCAAUACUAAACAUAAGUAUCCUAUUUUGUGUUGGUGAGUAGUUUACAAAACCUUUAUGUGAACAAUUGAAUAUUAAGGCAACUCUACUAAAUUUAUUUAUCGUA